RNAcentral lists this ribosomal RNA (519 nucleotides) under uncultured bacterium. RNAcentral describes it as "partial 16S ribosomal RNA". It matches the Rfam family "Bacterial small subunit ribosomal RNA", at positions 28 to 507 of the family's 1533-position model. The record is from RNAcentral.
GACGAACGCUGGCGGCGUGCCUAAUACAUGCAAGUCGAGCGAGCUUGCCUAGAUGAAUUUGGUGCUUGCAUCACAUGAAACUAGAUACAAGCGAGCGGCGGACCGGCGAGUAACACUUGGGUAACCUGCGCAAGACACUGGUAUUACACCUGGAAACUGAUUCUAAUAUCGGAUAACAACACUAGACGCAUGUCUUGUGUUUAAAAGAUGGUUCUGCUGUGCCUCUUGUAUGGACCUGCGUUGCAUUAGCUAGUUGGUAAGGCAACGGCUUACCAAGGCAAUGAGGCAUAGCCGAGUUGAGGGACUGAUCGGCCACAUUGGGACUGAGACACGGUCCAAACUCCUACGGGAGGCAGCAGUAGGGAAUCUUCCACAAUGGACGAAAGUCUGAUGGAGCAACGCCGCGUGAGUGAAGAAGGGUUUCGGAUCGUAAAGCUCUGUUGGUAGUGAAGAAAGAUAGAGGUAGUAACUGGCCUUUAUUUGACGGUAAUUACUUAGAAAGUCACGGCUAACUACGUG